This 253-nucleotide ribosomal RNA is filed under the name uncultured bacterium. RNAcentral's name for it is "partial 16S ribosomal RNA". It matches the Rfam family "Bacterial small subunit ribosomal RNA", at positions 524 to 776 of the family's 1533-position model. The record is from RNAcentral.
UACGGAGGGUGCAAGCGUUGUCCGGAAUCACUGGGCGUAAAGGGCGCGUAGGCGGCUCGGUAAGUCGGGUGUGAAAUCUCGGGGCUUAACUCCGAAACUGCAUUCGAUACUGCCGUGCUUGAGGACUGGAGAGGAGACUGGAAUUUACGGUGUAGCGGUGAAAUGCGUAGAUAUCGUAAGGAAGACCAGUGGCGAAGGCGGGUCUCUGGACAGUUCCUGACGCUGAGGCACGAAGGUCAGGGGAGCAAACGGG